Molecule: microRNA precursor, 91 nt
Filed under: Tursiops truncatus (common bottlenose dolphin)
Lineage: Eukaryota; Metazoa; Chordata; Mammalia; Artiodactyla; Delphinidae
Description: miRNA (ENSTTRG00000024401.1)
Source: RNAcentral
AUCACCUGGGGAUCAUGUUAAACUGCAGGUAUUUAGCCAACUGGGGUGGAGCCUGAGAUUCUGCAUUUCUAGCAAGCUCUUAGGUGAUGCC